Molecule: ribosomal RNA, 1104 nt
Filed under: Triticum aestivum (bread wheat)
Lineage: Eukaryota; Viridiplantae; Streptophyta; Magnoliopsida; Poales; Poaceae
Description: partial small subunit ribosomal RNA
Source: RNAcentral
AUGGCCGCGUCCGAGAGCUCACUGACGAGGACCGCCUCGACCUGCGCCCCGGAGACUGCGCACGGGUCGCACGUCUUCAAGAUCGACGGGUACAGUCUGCACAGGGGCUUCGGGGUCGGCAAGUUCAUCCAGUCCGCUACCUUCGCCGUCGGCGGCUACGACUGGUGCCUCCGCUUCUACCCAGACGGCAACAGGGAAGACAGCAAUGGCUGGGUGUCGGUCUUCCUCGAUCUCAAGACCGAGAACACGGAGGUGAGGGUGCUCUACGAUAUGUGGCUGGUCGACCAGACCAGAGCGGCUCCGCUGCCGCAGCCUUAUGCCCGGCCAAACCCUAGCGAGAGAGACCUGUCCGUUUUUGACACCCGUGACAAUGCAGCCGCGAGCUGGGGCUUUACCAAAUUCCGGAGGAAGAGUGAACUUGGAGAGUGGAUUGUGGACGACUUUCUUGGCAUCCAGUGCAAUCUUACGGUGAUCAAGUUCAAGGAGGCGCAGGUGGAGGAGGUCGAGACGAAUGCUGUGGUCCAAGUGCCGCCGUCCGAUCCGUUUGAUAAUCUCAGCAGCUUGCUGGAGGCCACAGAGGGGGCUGAUGUCUCUUUCAAUGUGAAGCAUGAGGUUUUCUCAGCUCAUAAGAUAAUCCUCGCGAUGCGUUCAGCGGUCUUCAGGGCAGAGUUCUACGGGCCAAUGAGGGACGAACAAAGGCGCAACAUAACUGUUGAAGAUAUGCAGCCUGCUGCUUUCAGAGGACUUCUUCACUUCAUCUACAAGGAUUUGUUGCCUCCGAUGGAUGAGCUCAAUGAUGAAGAGUAUGAAGAAAUGCUUAGGCAUUUUCUUGUCGCUGCAGAUAGGUAUGCCAUGGAAAGGAUGAAAUUGAUGUGCGAGAGCAAGCUGUGCGAGGUUCUUUGUGCCGACACUGUGGCGACCACGCUAGCUCUAGCCGACCAGCACCAUUGCAGCCAGCUCAAAGAUGCUUGCAUUGAGUUUAUGAACUCUUCUAAUAUAAUUGGUGAUGUGGUGGCCAGUAAAGGGUAUGAGCAACUGAAAAGGGAAUGCCCUACUAUCAUUGCGGAUAUAUGGGAGAAAGCAGCUAAGAGUCGCAAAAUUUAG